This is a non-coding RNA of Cyanistes caeruleus (blue tit), 5173 nucleotides long. NCBI's taxonomy places the organism in Eukaryota, Metazoa, Chordata, Aves, Passeriformes, Paridae. The record is from RefSeq and is a predicted model, not a curated record.
AUGAGAAAAGGCAAAUUAUCCCGUUAUUCGCGGAGGCUGUGGUUUGACGCCGCACACCCCCCGGCCAGCCACGGUGAUGGCACCCUAUGAAAUCAUCCCUUUUCUUUUUAGCCUGGAAGGAGGAAAGCCUGGGCAGCCGUGACAGGCGAGGGGUUCACCGGAGGACAAACCCCUUGCCCUUACAUGUGCCAUCCAGGAGGAGCCUCGAACACCAGCGUCCAGCAGGGCCCGGCCAUCGCACGCCUUGGAGAAAACACUCCCAGCAGCACGGGGAAGAUGCUGGCUGAGAAGGAAGAUCUGCUAAGCCGCUCUUUCUCUCCUGUAAGGAGACUUACGUGCUCAUGGUCUCAGGUCUUCCAUCCUGGGCAGCAAGCAGCACCAGAUCACAAUCUUCUCUGGCAGUGCUAAGGUACUCAGCCUACCAAGACAAGCUAAGUAAAAAUGUUUGGAAGAAGAUCCCACACUGUCUGGGCAAUAAAACGGGAUGAAAUCCUUUCACUGAAAAGCAAAGUGAACCACAUGGAAUGAAACAUGAAUAUCACAGCCUCUGACUCAACUCCUACCAUUCAAAAUAGAGAUCCUGGUACUGUGACAGGUGCUGCAGUGAAGCUGUUCUGUGUGCUCAAGUGGAGUGUCAAGGAUCAUUACAAAAGAAGGGAAGAAGUGAACAGCAAACACCCCUACACCAUCAUUAUUAGGCCCAGAUCUCCUGUCUGCUUAUAUCUCAAAUACAAUGUGCAGUUCUGCUUUGCUUAAAAGGUGCAAAGGGAAACUUGAAAGACACAUAAAAACAUAGCAAAUGUACUUAAAAGCAGCUAAAUGCACUGCUAGGGUGGUGUUUCCACCCUAGAAAGGCAGCAAUCUGGAUGAAACCUCAACUAAUAUACUCAAAAACAGCAUGGAAAGGAACAUCAGAGAGAGAUACUCAUUCACUUAAUGUGUGUUGAGAUAAACAAAGACCCUUUCUCUAAAGCAGAGGGUAUCAAGGCAACAUAUCAAACAAGUAAUCAGAAUAUGGACAGCAACUUUAAACAACAUGUUUUCCAACCACAGAACUCAUUACUACAGCACACUAAAGAGGCAAAAAACUUUAAGGAGUUGGGUUUUUUUAAAGCAGAAAUUUAACUAUGUGUUACUUGAAGCUGAAAGAGUAACGGAGUGCCCUGUAUGCUACCCAAGCCUCCUUCCCCAUGUGUAUGGUAGUAGCUAUUUUUCUGGGUGAGGUUUUAAACAGGUGGACCUUUGAUCUGACACAGUGCUGCUAUCCCUAUGCUACUCUCCAGGAGGAAAUGCAAGUUUUCACCAGAACAAAUGAAACUGAACAACAUUGUUCAAGGCAAUAAAGUGCACAAACCUGUAAGCAGCUCUGGCAAAGUUUGAGUCUGUGGUGAACAUGUGGCAGCUGCAGCUGCUCUCUGGGAGACAGGGAGCCUCACAAAACAGCCAGCAGGACAAGGACCUCGCCAGCCAGCACCCAGCCCCACUGUACACACACAGGGUAAACAGAACAGGCCCAGGGGCACCAUCUGCAUUCAGGCACAAGGCCUGAAUAACACAGCUUCCAGAACAUGAGGCAAGCCUGGAGUUUAGCUAAGAACUCAAUCUUCAGGUCACAAGCAGGUCUGGAGACCUAUGAAGUAAGAAAAACUACACACAACCUGAGUGAAUAAUAAACAGAGACCAUAGACACUAAAGAGGACCAAGCCCAAACCAAGGCCCUAAACAACCAAAGCCUGUUUCUUAGCCAGGUGAGCUUAAAUAGAGCUCCUGGGCCCUUGGGCAAAGGAUGUGGGUGGAGACUCCAGAUGCAGAUGGUCAGGUCCCUUAAGACCUAUUAGUGUCCUUGGGCCCUUGACCCUGGAAACAGAACUAUUCAGGUAUGCUGUCCCUAAAUUAUUCCUGCAGUCAUCUGCAACAGGCACAGCAUCAGUCCAAGCUAAGAAAGGUUAGAUUGAUGCUGAGCUUUAGCCCUUCACAAACCAAAAGCUGAGAUAAUUACACUGCAAAGAUACCUAAGCUGCUUUUUAAGGGACAGAUUUGAUCUAGCCAGGUUUAUCUUAGCUAGCCCUGUUUUCCUUGCCGUGGAAAGAUGAUACUGCAACAUUAGGGCUGUUUGUUUAUGUGAUUACAAAACACAGAUUACAACUUCCACUUUCUAGCAAAGCCUGCCUCACAUUUGCUAGCUCGGGCUCCAGCAUGACAAAGUGAGCAGCCUGCUCCCAGCCCAGAUGUGACCUAGGAACCUGUGUGCCACUCUGGUGUGUGCUGCUGUGCCUGUGAAUCCAGCUGAACACUGGCCAAACACUGUUAAUGCCUUUGGAUUUGUAAUACAGAUGAUCAGAUAAAUCACCCACAGCAUUGUUAGUUGGCACGAUCUGAAAGAGUCUUGAACAACAUGAAUUUAAUGCAGAAACUCAAAUUCUAAUUGUUCUUUUGACAAUCACUUUCUCAUUUAGUCCUUCUUGGCCCUGGUUCAAGAUAGUAUCUACCCGCCUGAUUGGCACUGAGAACAGGUUAACGUUUGUAGGCACACUAAACACAGAUAUUUUAAGCGUUAACACUAUUUUAUAUGAAAUAAGGCCAGGAGGGACUAUGAUUUCAGCUUGUGAUACCCAUCAUACAGGCCCACUGUGUUUAUUCUAAAUAUUUCCUAACAGAUGUUUCUGACCUGGAGUGGACCACAGUUUGCUGCCAGUUUCUAUUUUCAUUGGAAGUCUUGGCCCUUACUUCACUGCAUGAUUGUGCAUGGAUAAUAAAAAGCAUGACAGCAGAACAAUUGUGUAGUGCCUUGGACUACAUCUACACUUCAUCUGGCAAGACAUGGUUAAUUGUGCAUGUACAGACCCAAGAGUUUUGGGUGUUUUAAGGCUACUGCACUUUUGCAGUAAGCCAUGUGACACAGGGGUCACAUAGGGAACACCUCUUCAUGCCACCUGAAAGAAACGAAGGGACCUGCUUAGCCAGAGAAAUUUGGCACUCACUGUAUUACUGCAGACUCAGUAACUCUGAUCAGUCAAAUCCUUCUGUUCACUGAAGACCCCACUGACAGGGCCUGUUGGGGUCCUGAGGGUAUCAACAAGGUUUAAUGACCAGCCUCACCUGGGGCUUCCACUACACACUUGAUUUGUGGUGGGUGAGCAUUUAAACUCAGGCCUGUCUAGGUAACUGCUUCUGAUAUUAGUUCUGGUGUAGGCACUAGUUGUUUUGGGUGUUGGUUCUGGUCUUAUUUGUUCUUUGAGUUUGGUUUCUAGAUGAUCCUCAGGUGUGUCUCUGGCUCUGUUUUGGGCCUUCUCUUCUGUUCCUUUCUUGCCUAGAUGUACCAUAGAGCUGCUCUGUGCCCUGGCCGAGGCUGGAGCCUGUUCCCAGCACCCAGCUCUGCAGGACUGUGCCUUGUCAGUGAAGGGACCUCCUGUGCUGUGGUCUUAUUUGGCUCCUUGCUCACCUCAGGAAAAAACACUUCUGUCUACUUGCUGACAGAGGUAAAGAGAGUUCAAGACAGCACAGUGCCAAGGAGCUGAGGUUUGUUAGAGUAGCUGUAAUCUGCAAGCUGUGAUUUUUGUGGUAGGGGAAGAAUGAUUCUCGUGUGGGGAAAGUUAUGCACUUCUGAUGUCUGUAGAUGUGGUUUGGGGCAAAUAAACAGGCAACUGGAUAGGUAUUAUGUCAGAUCACUAAUUAGUAAAGACCAGAAGCAAGUCUAAAGACUUAAAAAGCUUACUGCCCAGAGGUAUUACACUGAUGGUAAUUUGUACAGCUAUCCCAAAACAGGGCUUGGUGUACACCAGCAUUUUAAGAGCACUGAAAAUAAUCUUUUCAGCAACCACUGAAAGUUGUUGCAGCAGCCAGUCUAUUUUAAUUAAUAUAUAUUUAAAAUGUGUUUUGAAAACUAAGCAUCUUUAACAACAAAAAAAUCAGGAACAAAUUACAAUUGAUAAAACUACCUACCUGCUUGAUUUUUUUCUUCAAAUUUGUAGCUCUGCUCCUGAGUGUUAUAAUUUUCAUGUCUCCCCUGCUGAUUGUUGAUUUACUGGGGGAGGAUGCGGUAGUGUCACACAUGAGUGUAAUGCAAAUUAUAUUAAAAUUGCUGAUAACUUUUAAGAAUGGGUCAUAAAAGAGAUGUCACCAGAGAAAUUCUCUAAAAGGUGUAAACAUUUCAAGGUAAAAAGAUGAAGUGACAACUGGGAGAAUGUUAAGAUUUAAAGGUGCAAAUGAACUACUACAGGGGCUAAUGAAGAAAACAGACCUUGAGAGCACUUUAUACCAGUAAGUACUUUAAAAAACCCCAAUAAAUCUAGGCACAUAAAGCUCAUUGUGAAUUCCUUUGUGUGUUAACAUAUCUAUGUAAGAUAUUCUGUUUAGCUCUGCAAUGCGAGUCUUUUACUGGUUUUUCUAAAGAGUAUGCAUACAUGAGGCACCCUUCCCUAAAUUAUGAGGCUUGACAAAGUAUCUUGAAAUAUCCUGCCUGUAGCUAAGAGAAGUAACAGCCCAUCUAUGUGAUUAUUGAUUUUUCUAGUCUGUGGUGAAACUCUAGAAACUUGAUGACUUUCAGCUGUUAGUGCAGUGGCAAUGCUUUUCUGUGUGAAGUCAGUAAAUUAGAUUCCUACAGCUGGAGCUGUUAACAGAGUCUGGUUGUUGUGGUGGGAGGAGGCUUUUCCUGAGCAGAAACCCAAAAGAAUACAAACUGGGUGGAGAACAUGGCAUCAACAGUGGCUUAAAAACCUGCUUCAAUAACUCACAGAACAGUUGCCUUUCCAUUAGAGACUGACAGUGACUUAAAAAAAAAAAUACUAAUUUUGCAGAUGUAUUACAAAAGUGUUUCUCCUUCUGGUGAAUUUUGAAGCUUGCACGUAAAUAAUCAUAUUGAGCAAUUUUUUCUGAGUAUAAAACCAUAAUUGUAGACAAAAGGGAUCUUCACGUUCUAGCACGAAGUUGAAGUAGCUAUCUAAACGGCUCAAAAGAAAUCGAUGUAUUUUACAGUACAGUCUUAACUAGAGCCGUUUAGGUUUUGGUUAUGUGCGCCCACAGGUCUAAAUACAGGUAUUUGUUGGCGAACCGCGCGGAUGGAUGUUUUUAAGGAGCAGCAAGCCAUCCCCGGGGGCACUAACAAAGGCGUGCCCCGGAGCGGGCAGAGGGUGAGAAGCGGCUGGGCCGGGGUUAAGCCGGCCCUUCCCGCGGG